UCUUAUCAAGAGUGGCAGAGGGACUGGCCCUAUGAAGCCACAGCAACCUGCAUUUAUGCAAGGUGCUAAUUCCUGCGGUUAAUCCGAGUGAUGAG
This 95-nucleotide non-coding RNA is filed under the name uncultured Eubacterium sp. RNAcentral's name for it is "SAM riboswitch (S box leader)". It matches the Rfam family "SAM riboswitch aptamer (S box leader)". From Rfam's summary of the family: The SAM riboswitch is found upstream of a number of genes which code for proteins involved in methionine or cysteine biosynthesis in Gram-positive bacteria. The SAM riboswitch acts at the level of transcription termination control. Lineage: Bacteria; Bacillati; Bacillota; Clostridia; Eubacteriales; Eubacteriaceae. The record is from RNAcentral.